This 596-nucleotide ribosomal RNA is filed under the name uncultured bacterium. RNAcentral describes it as "bacterial SSU rRNA". It matches the Rfam family "Bacterial small subunit ribosomal RNA", at positions 338 to 949 of the family's 1533-position model. The record is from RNAcentral.
CCUACGGGAGGCAGCAGUAAGGAAUCUUCCACAAUGGACGAAAGUCUGAUGGAGCAACGCCGCGUGCAGGAUGAAGGCUUUCGGGUCGUAAACUGCUUUUAUAUGGGAAGAUUAUGACGGUACCAUAUGAAUAAGGACCGGCUAACUACGUGCCAGCAGCCGCGGUAAUACGUAGGGUCCAAGCGAUAUCCGGAAUUACUGGGCGUAAAGCGUGUGUAGGUGGAUUAAUAAGUGUGAUGCGAAAUCCGGCGGCUCAACCGUUUGGACUGUGUCGCAUACUGUUAGUCUAGAGGACGGCAGAGGUAAGUGGAAUUACGGGUGUAGCAGUGAAAUGCGUAGAUAUCCGUAGGAACACCAAUGGCGAAGGCAGCUUACUGGGCCACACCUGACACUGAGACACGAAAGCGUGGGGAGCGAACAGGAUUAGAUACCCUGGUAGUCCACGCCGUAAACCGAUGCAUACUAUUAGUAUGGGGUAUCGACCCCCUGUGCUGAGAAGCUAACGCGAUAAGUAUGCCGCCUGGGGAGUACGAGCGCAAGCUUAAAACCUUAAAGAGUAGUAGCGNGNGAGUGNGACCGAGCACGACGGAGGGUAG